UUUUAUUUGAGAGUUUGAUCCUGGCUCAGGAUGAACGCUGGCGGCGUGCCUAACACAUGCAAGUUGAGCGAUUUACUUCGGUAAAGAGCGGCGGACGGGUGAGUAACGCGUGGGUAACCUACCCUGUACACACGGAUAACAUACCGAAAGGUAUGCUAAUACGGGAUAAUAUAUUUGAGAGGCAUCUCUUGAAUACCAAAGGUGAGCCAGUACAGGAUGGACCCGCGUCUGAUUAGCUAGUUGGUAAGGUAACGGCUUACCAAGGCGACGAUCAGUAGCCGACCUGAGAGGGUGAUCGGCCACAUUGGAACUGAGACACGGUCCAAACUCCUACGGGAGGCAGCAGUGGGGAAUAUUGCACAAUGGGCGAAAGCCUGAUGCAGCAACGCCGCGUGAGUGAUGAAGGCCUUCGGG
Molecule: ribosomal RNA, 414 nt
Filed under: Clostridioides difficile
Lineage: Bacteria; Bacillati; Bacillota; Clostridia; Peptostreptococcales; Peptostreptococcaceae
Description: bacterial SSU rRNA
Rfam family: Bacterial small subunit ribosomal RNA
Source: RNAcentral